Molecule: long non-coding RNA, 20353 nt
Filed under: Solanum melongena (eggplant)
Lineage: Eukaryota; Viridiplantae; Streptophyta; Magnoliopsida; Solanales; Solanaceae
Description: long non-coding RNA (SMEL_LNC000122)
Source: RNAcentral
GGGCUAGUUGAUUCAGCAGGUGAGUUGUUACACACUCCUUAGCGGAUUUUGACUUCCAUGACCACCGUCCUGCCGUCUUAAUCGACCAACACUCUUUGUGGGAUCUAGGUUAGCGCACAUUUUGACACCAUAACCUAGCUUCCGGUUAAUCCCGCAUCACCAGUUCUGCUUACCAAAAAUGGCCCACUUAGAGCUCUUCAUUCUGUGGUGCGGCUCAACAAAGCAGCCGCACUGUCCUACUUCUUUAAAGUUUGAGAAUAGGCCGAGGGCGUUGCGCCCCCGAGGCCUCUAAUCAUUGGCUUUACCGAUAGAACUCGCACGCAAGCUCCAGCAAUCCUGAGGGAAACUUCGGAGGGAACCACCUACUAGACAGUUCGAUUAGUCUUUCGCCCCUAUACCCAAGUCAGACGAACGAUUUGCACGUCAGUAUCGCGGCGGUCCUCCACCAGAGUUUCCUCUGGCUCUGCCCCGCUCUGGCAAAGUUCACCAUCUUCUAGGUCCCGAAAGGUAUGCUCACACUCAAACCCUUCCUAGAAGAUUAACGUUGGUUGGUUGUGCACCCCUCAGUGGGAUCCCACCAAUAAGCUUCCUUAUGCCUUACGGGUUUACUCGCCUGUUGACUCGAACACAUGUCAGACUCCUUGGUCCGUGUUUCAAGACGGGUUGAAUGGGGAGCCCACAGGCCAGCAUCCGGAGCAUGCAGAUACCAGAGCAUGCCGGAGGAGCGCGCUACCUUCCACAAUUAGGGAGAAGGCGUUCCACGGGGGUAUCGAGAGCUUGGGCUUUGGCCGCUCCCCCAAUACACGCUUGUCCACGCCAUGAGUCAAUCGGCGGACCAGCUCAUCACCAUUCCACAUCUGACCGGGGUGCAUCGCCGGCCCCCAUCCGCUUCAAUCCCGACAACUUCAAGAACUCUUUGACUCUAUUUUCAAAGUCCUUUUCAUUUUUCCCUCGCGGUAAUUGUUCGCUAUCGGUCUCUCACCAGCAUUUAGCCUUGGACGAAAUUCACUGCUCGAUUUAAGCUGCAUUUGUAAACAACCCGACUCGUAGAUAGCACCUCGUGGUGAGACAAGGUCCGGGCACGACAAGGAUCUCACCAUCUCCGGCGCCCCCUUCCAAGGGACUUAGGCCCGGUCUUCCGCUAAGGACGCUUCUCUAGACUACAAUUCGAAAGACGGAUCCGCCCGAUUCUAAGGCUGGGCUAUUCCUUGUUUGCUCGUUGUUACUAGGGUAAUCCUUGUAAGUUUCUUUUUCUCCGCUUAUUGUUAUGCUUAAACUUAGCGUGUAAUCCCGCCGGACCUCGGGUCACAGUCAGAGCGCCUGGUGAGACGCAGUAAGGGUCAGGGAGUCCGGACGCGCGACAGACUGUAGCCUUGACAACAAGAGAGAGUUGAGUUUCAACCAGCACUUGCUGCGACGUCUACCGACGUGGACUCGCAUUUAGGCCGGCCGCGCGCUCGGGGUGCACGGGUGUCCAGCUUCCGCCCUCGCGCUCAGUUUUGCGAUGUGCGGGAGGGGGGAGGUGCAACGCGAUGCGUGACAUCCAGGAAGACGUGCCCUCGGCCAAACGGCUUCAGGAGCAACUUGCGUUCAAAGACUCGAUGGUUCACGGGAUUCUGCAAUUUACACAAGUAUCACAUUUCGCUACAUUGUUCAUUGAUGUGAGAGCCGAGAUAUCCGUUGCCAAUAGUCAUUUGUGUUUAUAGAGCAGUGUGCAUCCCCCUCACGAUCUGCGAACGAGGUGCGAGGGGAUGGAUGUUGAUUGUAGUAAUCAUUGGCGCUUUCCGCGCCAAGGUUCGUUGGUCGCCCGAAAAGCUUGCGCGCGUCGGGCGAUAGGAGGGAGGCGCACGACGAGCGAGCGCCUCCUCCUGAUGUUUAAAAUAAGUUCGCGGGUCGUUCUGCUGUGCAGGUUUUGACAAUGAUCCUUCCGCAAGUUCACCUAUGGAAACCUUGUUACGAAAAAAGAUAAGGUUCAAUGGAUUUCUCACGACGUUGCGAACAACGAACCGCCCAUGUCACCGUGAUCCGAAUAUUUCACUGGAUCAUUCAAUUGGUUAGAGCAAUGGGUGUUGUGUAAAAAGGGUAGGGACAUAGUCAACGCGAGCUGAUGACUCGCGCUUACUAGGAAUUCCUCAUUGAAGACCAACAAAUGCAAUGAUCUAUCCCCAUCACGAUGGAAUUUCAAAGAUUACCCGGGCCUGUCGGACAUGGAUAUAAUCUCGUUGAAUUCCUCAGUGUAGCGCGCGUGCGUCCCAGAACAUCUAAGGGAAUCACAGACCUGUUAUUGCCUAAAACUUCCGCGACCUAAAAGGCUGUAGUCCCUCUAAGAAGCUGGCCGCGAAGGGAUACCUUCGCAUAGCUAGUUAGCAGGCUGAGGUCUCGUUCAUUAACGAAAUUAACUAGACAAAUGGCUCCACCAACUAAGAACGGCCAUGCACCACCACCCGUAGAAUCAAGAAAGAGCUCUCAGUCUGUCAAUCCUUACUAUGUCUGGACCUGGUAAGUUUCCCCGUGUUGAGUCAAAUUAAGCCGCAGGCUCCACUCCUGGUGGUGCCCUUCUGCCAAUUCCUUUAAGUUUCAGCCUUUCGACCAUACUCCCCCCGGAACCAAAAAAAUUUUGAUUUCUCAUAAGGUGCCGGUGGAGUCCUAAAAGCAACAUUCGUCGAUCCCUGGUUAGUAUCGUUUAUGGUUGAGACUAGGAGGGUAUUUGAUCAUCUUAGAGACCUCACAUUCGUUCUUAAUUAAUGAAAACAUCCUUGGAAAAUGCUUUCGCAUUUGUUCGUCUUUCAUAAAUCCAAGAAUUUCACCUCUGACUAUGAAAUACGAAUGCCCGCGACUGUCCCUGUUAAUCAUUACUCCGAUACUGAAGGCUAACAUAAUAGGACCAAAAAACUAUAUAUUAUCCCAUGUUAAUGUAUAUAGAGCGUAGUGUCACGACCCGCCAGAUACCCAGGCAGUUCGCGACCUUCCUAGGCAGCCAGCAGCAGGCGCAAGGGGGCAGGCAGCCCACACUGGUCAGAAGACCAAGGUGCUGGCGCCCAAGCAGGCAGCAAUUGGAGGGGCAGCCGUUACAACCGUUUCGGCAGUUUCAGCCGUUUCAGCAGUUACAGCCAUUACACCUGUUACUGAACGUCAAGGGGCAGUAGUUUCAAGCCUUGAUGAGGCUUGCUCAAGGCCUCUAGGAUGUGGGGGGCAGACUAGUCAAGGCUAGGAGUCCUUUUUGGAAGACUUAGGAGUCAUGCCUUGAGUGCAUGAACAUAGGGGCUUGUAUAGUUGUAUUUAUUUACUCUUAGGGGUUAGAGUAGUAUAAUAGUAGGGUCAUUGUAUUUUGUAAAGCAUCCAACAAUUCAUUGACUAAUAAUAUACUAGUCCAAUCUUCCAAAUUCUGUCUUUGUUUUCUCUUUCUAAGUUCUCUUAGCGAUCCAAGUAGAGGAAGGCUUACUUGAGUCUACAAGAUCGUGCAAGAAUCGUGAGUAGACCGUCAGGUGCCGCACGGAGCAUUGUCCGAUUUGAUAAGUCCGUGAAAAUUGGUAUCAGAGCAGGUUCAUCUAGAGAAUGACGAACGGUGGAGACGGCACUAGCAGCACCCCCAACGUCCGCACUGAUGGUGGCAAGAAGAACAAUAAGGGGAAGAAGCAGCAGACGGGUAAUGAACCCAAUCUGCCUGGUCUUCCACAAAAUGUUUCUCCACGUAUUGUUCCUACACCAAGCGAAGGGCAAACAUCUCUCCCUCCCCAGAUUGUUGAUGGAAGUGACGUAGAUACCGGCGAGGAGUCCGUGGACGUUACUGUCGGACCGGAGUGGAUUGCAAGGGUCGAAAUGGCGAGGCAAGCCGUUGAGAUCAUAGGUCAGCGCUUGAAUAGAACAGACAGGGAUCUCAAAGCUCUUGAAGAGUACUCCCUUGAGGAAGUUGAGAACGUCCGGAAGGAGUUGGAGGCACGCCAGCCAGCCGAGUAUGAGACAAAGGAGGCCAUUACUUCCUUAGAGAUCAGAUUUAGGGAAGCACUUGGCACAAUCAAGUUGCUUAAGGCCAAGGUGGCAGCACUCGAGGAGGAUAGAGAGGUUGGUGGAUCCUCAUCACAUAACCGAGAAAGGGAAGCCAGAGUUGAGGCGCCCAAGCCACCAAUCUUCAUAGGCGUCUGUGACGCGCAAGCGGUGGAUAAUUUCCUUUGGCACUUGGAGAAUUAUUUCAAGUGUAUGCGGGUCCGUAGUGAUGUGAAUAAGAUUAACACGGUUGUGUUGUAUCUUUAAGAGUUGGCCAUGCUAUGGUGGAAGCGUAAAGAGUCUGACAUCGCAAAGCGGACGUGCGCGUUGAACACAUGGGAGCAGUUCCGUGUGGUGUUCAAGAAGGCGUUCCUCCAUAGCAACGUUGUCUAUGAGGCAAAGCGCAAGAUGCGGGAGUUGAGACAAAAGGGCAGCAUACGCGCGUAUGUGCGGGAGUUUACCACCGUUACAUUUCAAAUUCCCAACCUCAUGGACGACGACACAUUGUUCUACUUCAUGGAUGGGCUGCAAAAUUGGGCCAGAACGGAGUUGGAACGGCAGGUCAGGAAUAUCGAGGACGCCAUUACGCAGGCUGAAGCCUUGACAGACUUCAGGCAGGAGAAGUCUUUCAGUGCCGAUGAGGACGACGAGGUAGGCAGUCAUGAUGAUAGUGGGGAUGACAGUUGCGAAGGCGAGGAGCAAACGCCACAACCCAAAAGGCGUGACACCUAUGAGUCCAACGGCAAGAAGCCUAGAGAUCGUGGCAACACGGUACAGGAUUCCAAGGACGGUUGCUUCAUAUGCAAAGGGCCGCAUGGUUACAAGAGAUGCCCUGAACUGAAAAGUCUUGGUGCUAUACUCCGUGAGCGGAAGGAAAAGAAAGCCCAAGAGGAAGUCGGGAAGACUAAGCAGUUGGGCGUGGUAAGCCUAUGCGGAGCUGUGAUUGAACAACCAUCGACGAGGCCAAGGCAAGAUGAGCCAAGGAAAGCGGAGCCGAAGCAUGCUGACAAGGGACUUCCAAAGUCUAUGGCGUGGGCUCAAACAGUCGACAUCAUGGUCAAUGGGAAACCUGCUCGUGCGUUGGUCGACAACGGUCCUGAGGUCAAUAUUAUGACCAAGACGGCAGCAAAGAGGUUGGGGUUGCGAUAUACUUCAACCAACGACCAAAUAAAGUCUGUCAACGCAUCACCGACUCCCAUAGUUGGAGUAGCACACGGCGUGAACAUCAUUGUAGGCGAUUGGCAAGGGAAAACCAAAUUCAUCAUCGCCCCCAUCAACAUGUUUGAUGUUAUUCUUGGGCAGAAGUUCUUCCAAUAGUGCCAUGCAGUAAUCGAUCCUCAUCUCCAAAAAUUGACAAUAAUGGAUAAAGGAAGGGAAUAUACAGUUCCCAUGGUGAAGGCACAUGCGGCGGAGAGAUAGGCUAGAUUUACAGCCAUGAAGCUCGAGAGGGUCGACGUGGGAAGAAGGUUAACACCAGCAGCGACCAUUGCAAGUUCUAGAGAAGACAAUGGUGCUGGAAAGACUUUGCCAUCGCGCAGUAAGAGGGUUCCGAGUAGGAACGCUGACAUGAUGAAGAAGCCGCUGGAGCACUUGCCCGCGUUGAAGGAGGAUGUUUGGAAGAUCGGGUCGAGAAAGGACGGGACAUCGAUGAAGAGGCUGUUCGAAGGGAUUGAUCGAGUACGCGAGUUGAUGGUCGCCCGGCAGAACUCAACGCCGAUACGGACGCAAUGCGAUGCGGACGUCGCAUCAUCAGGUGGGGGAGUUUGUCACGACCCGCUAGAUACCCAGGCUGUUUGCGACCUGCCUAGGCAGCCAGCAGCAGGCGCAAGGGGGCAGGCAGCCCACACCGGUCAGUAGACCAAGGUGCUGGCGCCCAAGCAGGCAGCAGUUGGAGGGGCAGCCGUUACAACCAUUUCGGCAGUUUCAGCCGUUUCAGCUGUUACAGCAGUUACAGCCGUUAGAGCUGUUACUGAAGGUCAAGGGGCAGCAGUUUCAAGCCUUGAUUAGGCUUGCUCAAGGCUUCUAGGACGUGGGGGCAGACUAGUCAAGGCUAGGAGUCCUUUUGGGAAGACUUAGGAGUCAUGCCUUGAGUGCAUGAACAUAGGGGCUUGUAUAGUUGUAUUUAUUUACUCUUAGGGGUUAGAGUAGUACAAAUAGUAGGGUCAUUGUAUUUUGUCAAGCAUCCAACAAUUCAUUGACUAAUAAGAUACUAGUCCAAUCUUCCCAAUUCUGUCUUUGUUUUCUCUUUCUAAGUUCUCUUAGCGAUCCAAGUAGAGGAAGGCUUACUUGAGUCUACAAGAUCGUGCAAGAAUCAUGAGUAGACCGUCAGGUGCCGCACGGAGCAUUGUCCGAUUCAAAAAGUCCGUGACAGUAGGCUUGCUUUGAGCUCCCUAAUUCUUCAAAGUAACUACGCCGGAGGCACGACCUAGACAAUUAAGGCCACAAGCGCAUCGCCGAUUGAAGGGACGAAACGACCGGUGCACACCUAGGGAGGACCGGUCGGUCCAUCCCAAAGUCCUACUAUGAGCUUUUUAACUGUAACAACUUAAAUAUACGCUAUUUAAGUUGGAAUUACUGCGGCUACUAGCACCGGACUUGCCCUCCAACGGAUCCUCGUUAAGGGAUUUAGAUUGUGCUCGUUCCAAUUACAAGACUCAUAGAGCCCGGUAUUGUUAUUUAUUGUCACUACCUCCCCGUGUCACGAUUGGGUAAUUUGCACGCAUGCUGCCUUCCUUGGAUGUUGUAGCCGUUUCUCAGGAUCCCUCUUCAAAAUCGAACCCUAAUUCUACGUCACCCAUCACCACCAUUGUAGGCCACUAUCCUAACAUCGAAAGUUGAUAGGGCAGAAAUUUGAAUGAUGCGGCACCGGCAUGAUGGCCUUGCUAUCCAUCGAGUUAUCAUGAAUCAUCGUAGCAACGGGCAGAGCCCGCGUUGAACUUUUAUCUAAUAAAUGCAUCCCUUCAGAAGUCGGGGUUUGUUGCACGUAUUAGCUCUAGAAUUACUAUAGUUAUCCGAGUAGUAGAUACAAUCAAACUAACUAUAACUGAUUUAAUGAGCCAUUCGUAGUUUCACAGUCUCAAUUUGUUCAUACUUACACAUGCAUGGCUUAAUCUUUGAGACAAGCAUAUGACUACUGGCAGGAUCAACCAGGUAGCAUUCCUAAACGACGACGUGCGUCACAUGAGCCCGGCGCGCCCUUUCUGUCACAGUCGGGUCCAAGGGGAGCGCGAGAGUCAUUCGCAAGGAGCAUUCAUUUUGAGUAGUUAGAAGCCGGUGAAGGCCCCAUGCCCACUGCGUCUUAUCGUAUCUGAGAGUUGGAGGCGCCACUCACGGAACACACCAUCGCACGAGGAAUCGAGGGAAGCCGUGGGACACAAAAACGUCUUUUGGGUUCACCCAGCGCAUGGUAUGCGAGGGGUAAAAGGCGACCGUUUGCACGUUCACAACGCCUAGGCAUUAGGUAUGCAGCACAACAUUCUGACGUCUUACCUAGAUUUCCCUUCAUCCGCCACUGAAUUGGCAUGCGAGUUAGGACAUCGCAGCUCCAAGUUGGAAUCCAACCUAACCAGACAUGCCCAAUACCACUCAUGCGUUAUACGUAAAUAACUCCGUCAAUGCACGCCCGACCUCCACCCCGUCGCCCGACAUGAGAUGUCGUGCGCCGAUGCCGAUGCCUUCAUUGCAAGGCCAAUGCGACAACCGCCAUUGUGCACCUGCCCAAGGGAGUUGAGAAUUUAAUCACUGCAAAGAUUGUUGGAGGGAGACCAAGGUUCACACAGGGGAACCGCCCAUGACGUCGUUAGACUGUGUGUGCUGUCCAAAGGCAGUGAUGGCAUGCCACGCCCGACGUCGUUCGACCGUGUUUGCCGUCCAAGGGCCAUGAUAGCAUGCCACGACCGACGUCGUUCGAUCGUGUGUGCUACCCAAAGGCGAUGAUGGCAUGCCACUCCCGACGUUAUUCGACCGUGUGUGCUAUCCAAAGGAGGUGGUGUCAUGCCACGCCCGACGUCAUUCAAUCGUGUGUGCUGCCCAAAGGCGAUGAUGGUAUGCCACACCCAAUGUCGUUCCACCGUGUUUGCCGUCCAAGGGCGAUGAUAGCAUGCCACGCUCGACGCCGUUCGAUUGUGUGAGCUAGUCCAAAGGUGAUGAUGGCAUGCCACGCCCGACGUCGUUUUACCCUGUGUGCUGCCCAAAGGCGAUGAUGUCAUGCCAUGCCCGACGUCAUUCGAUCAUAUGUUCUGUCCAAAGGCGGUGAUAACAUGUCACGCCCGAUGUCGUUUGACCGUGUUUGCUGUCCAAAGGCGGUGAUGUAAUGCCACGCCUGACAUUGUUCGACUGUGUUUGCUGUCCAAAGGCGGUAAUGUAAUGCCACGCCUGACAUUGUUCGACCUUGUGUGCUGCCCAAAGGUGAUAAAGGCAUGCCAUGCUCGACGUUGUUUGAUCCUGUGUGCUGUCCGAAGGCGGUGAUGGCAUGUCACGCUUGACGUCAUACAACCGUGUUUUCCAUCCAAGGGAUAUGAUGGCAUGCCACGCGCGGCGUCGUUCUACCGUGUGUGCUUCCCAAAGGCGAUGAUGGCAUGCCACGCCCGACGUCGUUUGACCAUGUGUGCUGUCCAAAGGUGGUGAUGUCAUGCCACGCCCGACGUAGUUCGACCGUGUGCUGCCCAAGGCGGUGAUGUCAUGUCAUGCUCGAUGUUGUCCGACCGUGUGUGCUGUCCAAGGGAGGUGAUGUCAUGCCGCGCCAGACGUUGCCGACCAUAUGUGUUGUUCAAGGGCAGUGAUGUCAUGCCACACCGGACGUUGCUGACCGUGUGUGUUGUCAAAUGGCGGUGAUGUAAUGUCACGCCCGACGACGUCAGACCGUGCGUGCAGUCUAAGGCGGUGCUGUUAUGCCACACCCGACGUCAUCUGACCGUGCGUGUAGUCCAAGGGUGGUGAUGUCAUUCCAUGCCCGACGUCGUCCGACCGUGCGUGUAGUCCAAGUGCGGUGAUGUCAUGCCAAGCCCGACGUCAUCCAACCGUGUGUGCUGUCCAAGGGAAGUGAUGGAAUGCCACGCCCGACGUCAUCCGACCGUGUGUGCUCUCCAAGGGCGGUGAUGUCAUGCCACACCCGACGUCGUUCAACCGUCAGUGCAGUCCAAGGGCAUUGAUGUCAUGCCACGCCCGACUUCGUCUGACUGUGCGUACAAUCCAAGGGAGGUAAUUUCAUGCCACGCCUGAUGUCAUUCGACUGUAGUGCUGCCCAAAGGCGAUGAUGGCAUACCACGCCCAACGUUGUUCGACCGUGUGUGCUGCCUAAAUGCGAUGAUGGCAUUCCUUGCCUGAUGUCGUUCGACCGUGUGUGCUGUCUAAAGGUAUUGAUGUUAUGCCACGCCUGACGUAGUUCGAUCGUGUGUGCUGCCCAAAGACGAUGAUGGCAUGCCAAGACCGACGUCGUUCGAGCGCAUGUGCUACCAAAGGCGGUGAUGGCAUGUCACGCCUGACGUUGUUCGAUCGUUUUUGCUGUACAAGGGCUAUGAUGGCAUGCCACACCUGACGUCGUUCGACUGUGUGUGCUGCCCAAAGGCGGUGAUGGCAUGUUACUCCCGACGUCGUUCAACCGUGUGUGCAGUCCAAAGGUGGUGAUGUUAUGACACGCCCGACGUCGGUCGACUGUGUGUGCUGCCCAAAGGAGAUGAUGGCAUGCCACACCCGACGUUGUUCGAGCGCGUGUGCUGCCAAAAACGGUGAUGGCAUGUCACGCGUGACAACGUUCGACUGUGUUUACUGUACAAGGGCUAUGAUGGCAUGCCACAACCGACCUCGUUCGACCCUGUGUGUUGCCCAAGAUCGGUGAUGUGAUGCCAUGCCUGAUGUCUUCCGACCGUGUGUGCUGUCCAAGUGCGGUGAUGUCAUGCCACGCCUGACGUUGCCUACCGUGUGUGCUGUCCAAGCGCGGUGAUGUCAUGCCACGCCCGACGUUGCCGACCGUGUGUGCUGUCCAAGGGCGGUGAUGUCAUGCCACGCCUGACGUUGCCGACCGUGGGUGUUGUCCAAGGACAGUGAUGUCAUGCCACGCCCGACGUCGUCCGACCUUGCGUGCAGUCCAAGGGCGGUGAUGUCAUGCAACGCCCGAUGUCGUUCGACCGUGUGUUCUGUCCAAGGGCGGUGAUGUCAUGUCACGCCCGACGUCAUCCUACCGUGUGUGCAGUCCAAGGGCGGUGAACCUGUUAAUCAGUACUCCAAUUUCGAAGGCCAAUGUAAUAGGACCAAAAUCCUAUAAUGUUAUCCCAUGCUAAUAUAUACAGAGCGUAGUGCCACGAACUUAGAGUAUUCACUAAGACUCCGUGCGCCACUUGACAAUUUACUCACGAUUCUUUCAAGAUCUUGCAAACUCAAGUAAGCCUUUAAUCUCAGAAUGCUAAGAGAAUUAAGAAGAAAGACAAAGACAGAUUUUGGAAGAGAGGACUUGUAUUGAUUGUUUGAUUAUUGGAUGCCUUACAAAUGAAAUAAUUCACCUAUUUAUACUACUCUAAUGCCUUAAAAUAAAUAAAUGCUUAUUUACAAGUCCCUAAGUACAUGCACUUUAGUACAUGUUCUACAUUCCUAGAACAUGUCUCUAGCUCUUCCAAAAAGGCUUCUAGAAUUCUCUAUUUUGCCUCACAGUCUUCCCCAACAAUCUAGAAUGCUCUAGAGUCUUCUACCAGCCUCUCCAAGGCUCUAGGGUCGCCUGCCCCAUCCGGAUGCUGCAAAAUUGGCUGGAAAUGUGGCAGGACGUCACAGUAGGCUUGCUUUGAGCACUCUAGUUCUUCAAAGUAACAGCGCCAGAGGCACGAUCUGGACAAUUAAGGCCAGGAGCGCAUCAUCGAUAGAAAGGACGAGACGACCGGUGCACACCUAGGGUGGACCGGUUGGCCCAUCCCAAAGUCCAACUACGAGCUUUUUCACUGCAACAACUUAAAUAUACGGUAUUGGAGCUGGAAUUACAGUGGCUUCUAGCACCAGACUUUCCCUCCAAUGGAUCCUCGUUAAGGGAUUUUGAUUGUACUCAUUCGAAUAACCAAAGUCAUUGAGCACGGUAUUGUUAUUUAUUGUCACUACCUCCCCGUGUCACGAUUGGGUAAUUUGCGCACAUGCUGCCUUCGUUGGAUGUGGUAGCCUUUUCUCAGGCUCCCUCUCCACAAUCGAACCCUAAUUCUCCGUCACCCGUCACCACCAUGGUAGUCCACUAUCCUACCAUCAAAAGUUCAUAGGGCAGAAAUUUGAAUGAUACGUAGCCGACAUGAUGGCCGUGCUAUCCAUCGAGUUAUAAUGAAUCAUCACAGCAACGGGCAUAGCCCGCGUUGAACUUUUAUCUAAUAAAUGCAUCUCUUCCAGAAGUCGGGGUUUGGUGCACGUAUUAGCUAUAGAAUUAGUACGGUUAUCCGAGUAGUAGAUACCAUCAAACAAACUAUAACUGAUUUAAUGAGCCAUUCGGAGUUUCACUGUCAUAAUUUGUUCAUACUUACACAUGCAUGGCUUAAUCUUUGAGACAAGCAUAUGACUACUGGCAGGAUCAACCAUGUAGCAUUCUUCAACGGUGUCGUAUGUCGCAUGAGCCCGGCGCGCCCUUUCGGUCUCGGUCGGGUCCAAGGGGAGCGCGACAGUCAUUUGCAAGGAGCAUUCAUUUUGGGUAGAUAGAAGCCGGUGAAGGCCCCAUGUCCACUGCGUCUACCGUAUCCGAGAAUUUGAGGUGCCGCUCACGGACCACGCCAUCCCACCACUAAGCGAGGGAAGGCAUGGUACGCAAAAGCGUCUUUUGGGUUCACCCCGAACAUGGGAUGCGAGGGGCGAAAGGCGACCGUUUGCACGUGAACAAUGCCUAGGAAUGAUGUAUGCAACACAGGAUUCCAACGUCCAACCAGCCUAUUUUGCGCUUCUUUUGCCACCUAAUUGGCAUGCGAGUUAGGAUGUCGCUGCUCGAAAUAGGGAUCCAACCUAACCACACAUGCCCAAUACCACUCAUGUGUUGUACAUGAAUAGCUCCGUCAAUGUACGCUCGACAUCCAACUUGACGCUCGACAUGAGAUGUCGUGUAAUAAUGCCGAUGCCUUCUUUGCAAGGCCAAUGGACACCCGCCGUUGCACGCCUGCCCAAGGGAGUUGAGAAUUUAAUCACUACAAAGAUUGUUGGAGGAAGACCAAGGUUCAGUCAAGGGAACCGCCCAUGAUGUCGUUCGACCGUAUGUGCUGUCUAAAAGCGGUGAUAGCAUGCCACGCCAGAUGUUGUUCGACCGUGUUUUCCAUCCAAUGUCUAUGAUGGCAUGCCAAUCCCGAAGUCGUUCGACCGUGUGUGCUGCCCAAAGGCGAUGAUGGCAUUCCAUGCCGGACGUCGUUCGACCGCGUGUGCUGUCCAAAGACGGUGAUGUCAUGCCACGCCUGAUGUUGUUCGACCGUGUGUGCUGCCCAAAUGUGAUGAUGGCAUGCCAUGCCCGAUGUCGUUCGACCAUAUGUGCUGCCCAAAGGCGAUGAUUGCAUGCAUGCCAUGCCCGACUUCAUUCGACAUUGUGUAUUGUCCAAAGGCGGUGAUGGCAUGUCACGCCCGACAUCGUUCGACCGUGUGUGCUGUCCAAAGGAGGUGAUGUCAUGCCACGCCUGAUGUCAUUUGACCAUGUGUGCUGCCCAAAGGCGAUGAUGGCAUGCCACGCCCGAUGUCGUUCGACCUUGUCUGCUGUCCAAAUGUGGUGAUGGCAUGACACGCAUGACAUUGUAUGACCGUACUUUCCAUCGAAGGGAUAUGAUGGCAUGCCACGCCCGAUGUCGUUCUACCGUGUGUGCUGCCCAAAGGCGAUGAUGGCAUGCCACGCCCGACGUCGUCCGACCGUGUGUGUUGUCCAAAGGCGGUGAUGUCAUGCCACGCCCGACGUAAUCCGACCAUGUGUGCUUCCAAGGGCAGUGAUUUCAUGCCACGCCCGACGUCGUCCGACCGUGUGUUCUGUCCAAGGGCGGAGAUGUCAUGCCAUGCCCGACGUUGUCGACUGUGUGUGCUGUCCAAGAGCGGUAAUGUCAUGCCACGCCCGAGGUCGUCCGACCGCGCUUGCAUUACAAGGGCGGUGAUGUCAUGCCACGCCUGAUGUCGUCUGACCGUGCGUGCAGUCCAAGGGCGAUUAUGUCAUGCCAUGCUCGACGUCGUCCAAUGGUGUUUGCCAUCCAAGGGCAUUAAUGACAUGCCACGCCCGACAUUAUCCGACUGUGUGUGCUCCCUAAGGGCGGCGAUGUCAUGCCACGCCCAACGUCGUUUGACCGUUACUGCAGUCCAAGGGUGGUGAUGUCAUGCCACGCCAGAUGUCGUCCCGACUGAGCGUGCAGUCCAAGGACGGUGAUGUCUAUCCACGCUCGAUGCCGUUCGACCUUUUGUGCUAUUUUAGGCGAUGAUGGCAUGCCACGCCCAACGUUGUUCGACCGUAUGUGCUGCCCAAAGGCGAUGAUGGCAUGCCACUCCCGACGUCAUUCGACCGUGUGUGCUGUCCAAAGGCGAUGAUGGCAUGUCACGCCCGACGUCAUUCGACCGUGUGUGCUGUCCAAAGGCAGUGAUGUCAUGCCACGCUCGACGUCGUUCAACCGUGUGUGCUGCCCAAAGGCGAUGAUGGCAUGCGAUGCCUAACGUCGUUCGAGCGCGUUUGCUGUCCAAAGGCGGUGAUGGCAUGUCACGCCUGACCUCGUUCGACUGUGUUUGCCAUACAAGGGCUAUGAUGGAAUGCCACGCUCGACGUCGUUCGAACGUGUGUGCUGCCCAAAGGCAAUGAUGUCAUGCCACGCCCGAUGUCGCUCGACCGUGUGUGCUAUCCAAAAGCGGUGAUGUUAUGCCACGCCCGACGUAGUCUGACCGUGUGUGCUACCCAAGGGCGGUAAUGUCAUGCCACACCAAACGUUGUUCGACCUUGGGUGUUGUCCAAUGGCGGUGAUGUCAUGCCACGCCCGACGUCGUUCGACUGUGUGUGCCAUCCAAGGGUGGUGAUGUCAUGCCACGCCUGACGUCGUUUGACCAUGUGUGCUGUCCAAGGGUGGUGAUGUCAUACCAGGCCUGACGUCGUACGACCAUGCGUGCAGUCAAAGGGCGGUGAUGUCAUUCCACAGACCUCGUUCGACCGUUUGUGCUGUCCAAGGGCAGUGAUGGCAUGCCACGCCCGAUGUCGUCUGACCGUGUGUGCUGUCCAAGAGCGGUGAUGACUUGCCACGCCCGACGUCGUUCGACCGUCUGUGCUGCCCAGAGGCAAUGAUGGAAUGACACGCCCGACAACAUUUGACCGUCUGUGCUGUCCUAAGGCGGUGAUGGCAUGCCACGCCCGAUGUCGUUCGACCGUGUUUCCCUUCCAAGGGCGAUGAUGACAUGCCAUGCCCGACGCCUUCUGACUGUGUCAGCUAGUCCGAAGGUGAUGAUGGCAUGUCACACCCGACGUCGUUCGACUGUGUGUGUUGUCCAAAGGUGGUGAUGUCAUGCCAUGCCCGACGUUGUUCGACUGUGUGUGUUGCCCAAAGGCGAUGAUGGCAUGCCACGACCGGCGUCGUUCGACUGUGUGUGUUGUCCAAAGGCGGUGUUGUCAUGCCACACCCGACGUCGUUCAAACGUGUGUGUUGCCCAAAGGCGAUGAUGGCAUGCCGCACCCGAUUUCGUUCGAUAGUGUUUGCCGUCCAAGGGCGAUGAUGGCUUGCCACGCCUGACGUCGUUCGACUGUGUGAGCUAGUCCAAAGGCGAUGAUAGCUUGCCACGCCUGACGUCGUUCGACCGGUUGUGCUGCCCAAAGGCGAUGAUGUCAUGCCACGCCCGACGUCGUUCGACCUUGUGUGCUGCCCAAAGGCAAUGAUGUCAUUCCAUGCCCGACGUCGUUCAACCGUGUGUGCUGUCCAUAUGUGGUGAUGGCAUGUCACGUCCGAUGUCAUUCGACCGUGUGUGCUGUCCAAAAGCGGUGAUGUCAUUCCACGCCUGACGUCGUUCGACCGCGUGUGCUGCCAAAAGGCGAUGAUGGCAUGCCACACCCGACGUCGUUCGACCGUGUGUACUGUCCAAAGAGGGUGAUGGCAUGCCACGCCUGACGUCGUACGACCGUGUUUGCCGUCCAAGGGCUAUGAUGGCAAGCCACGCCCAACGUCGUUCCACCAUGUGUGCUGCCAAAAGGCAAUGAUGACAUGCCACACCCGACGUCGUUCGACCGUGUGUGCUUUCCAAAGGCGGUGAUUUCAUGCCACGCCCGACGUAGUCCGGCCGUGUGUGCUUCCCUAGGGCGGUGAUGUCAUACCACGCCUGACGUCGUCCGACUGUGUGUGCUGUCCAAAGGCGAUGAUGUCAUACCAUGCCCAUCGUAGUUCGAUCGUGUGUGCUGCCCAAGGGCGGUGAUGUCAUUCCUCACCCGAUGUCGUCCGACCAAGGGCAGUGAUGUCAUGCCCGCCCAACGUUGCCGACUGUGUGUGUUGUCUUACGGAGAUGAUGUCAUGCCACACCCGACGUUGCCGAAGGUAUGUGAUGUCCAAGGGAGGUGAUAACAUGCCACGCCCGACGUCAUUUUACCAUGCGUGCAGUCCAAGAACGGUGAUGUCAUGCCACAGUCGACGUCGUCCGACCAUGUGUGUUGUCCAAGGGCGGUAAUGUCAUGCCACGCCCGACGUCGUCCGACCGUGCAUGCAGUCCAAGGGCGGUGAUGUCAUUCCACACCCGACGUCGUUCUACUAUGUGUGCUUUCCAAGGGCGGUGAUUUCAUGCCACGCUCGACGUUUUCUGACCGUGUGUGCUGUCCAAGGGCGGUGAUGGCAUGCCAGACAUGACGUCGUCCGACCAUGUGUGGUGUCCAAGGGCGGUGAUGACAUGCCAUGCCCGACGUCGUUCAACCGUGAGUGCAUUCCAACGGCGUAUUUUGCAGGUCGCCCAUUCUGUGUAGGCAUUUGCAGAUGCCACUUGGCCGCGGACGUGCUGCGUACGCAGACCCAUUUGCCUAUUGACAUCUAACUUGGCUUAAAAAUUGCACCCGACAUCCCGAAAACCUCUUAUAGUGACAUGUCAUUAGUCCCUUAACAUGUCAUUAGGAUUGAUAAAUCAACUCAACGUCACGAACACCUCGCAAUGGGGCUUAGUUAUCGGACAAGUUUUUGACCGUCGUAGAACGUAUAACUUAACACAUAGCGGCGGACUAGUGAACUUUACGUGCUAUAUUACUUCCGGUACUUAUAUUUCAACACUUAGUUAUUUUUUCCCUUUCCAAGGAUGCAAGAAACACGUGAACCUCUCAUUUGAAAAGCUAGAAAUUAAUGGAUUUGAUUUUGGGGGAGGGGAGUGUGGAGGAGACGAAUCGGAGCGACAAAGGGCUGAAUCUCAGUGGAUCGUGGAAGCAAGACCACUCUGCCACUUACAAUACCCUAUCACGUAUCUAAUUCAUCUACAAAGGAUUCUACUUGCCGCUCGAUGGAAAUUGUACUUCAAGGUGGUCAACCCGACGCUUCCGUCGCGGGGACUUAGCCAAUGACACGUGCCCUUAGGGGCCAUAGGCCCCUAUUGCGGGUCGGCAAGCAGACGGCAGGCGCAUGUAUUGCUUCUAGCCCAGAUUCUGACUUAGAGGCGUUCAGUCAUAAUCCAACACACGGUAGCUUCGCGCCACUGGCUUUUCAACCAAGCGCGAUGGCCAAUUGUGUGAAUCAACGGUUCCUCUCAUACUAGGUUGAAUUACUAUUGCGACACUGUCAUCAGUAGGGUAAAACUAACCUAUCUCAGAAUGGUCUAAACUCAGCUCACAUUCCCUAUUGGUGGGUGAACAAUCAAACACUUGGUGAAUUCUGCUUCACAAUGAUAGGAAGAGCCGACAUUGAAGGAUCAAAAAGCAACGUUGCUACGAACGCUUGGCUGCCACAAGCCAGUUAUCCCUGUGGUAACUUUUCAGACACCUCUAGCUUCGAAUUCUGAAGGUCUAAAGGAUCGUUAGGCCAUGCUUUCACGAUUCGUAUUCGUACUGGAAAUCAGAAUCAAAUGAGCUUUUACCCUUUUGUUCCACACGAGAAUUAUAUUCUCGUUGAUCUCAUCUUAGGACACCUGCGUUAUCAUUUUACAGAUGUUCCGGCUCAGCAAAACUCCCCACCUGACAAUGUCUUCCGUCCGGAUCAGCCCACGAAGCGAGCCUGGGGUCCAAAAAGAGGGGCAGUACCUCGCUUCUAAUUCACGGGAUAAGUAAAAUAACGUUAAAAGUAGUGGUAUUUCAGUUUCGCCUUUCGGCUCCCACUUAUACUACACCUCUCAAGUCAUUGACAAAGUUGGACUAGAGUCAAGCUCAACAGGGUCUUCUUUCCCCGCUUAUUAUGCCAAGCCCGUUCCCUUAGCUGUGGUUUCGUUGGAUAGUAGACAGGGACAGUGGGAAUUUCAUUAAUUCAUUAAUGCGCGUCACUAAUUAGAUGAUGAGGCAUUUGGCUACCUUAAGAGAGUCGUACUUACUCCCGCCGUUUUCCCGUGCUUGGUUGAAUUUCUUCACUUUGACAUUCAGAGCACUGGGCAGAAAUCACAUUGUGUAAACAUCCGUUGGGACCAUCACAAUGCUUUGUUUUAAUUAAACACUCGGAUUCCCCUUGUCCGUACCAGUUAUGAGAUGGGUUUUUGACGCCCGGGGAAGGCCCCCAAUGGAACCAUUACCAGUUUGUCCCCCAACUGGCACGCGACGACCCGCUCUCGCUGCAGGAGUAGCUCGAGCAGUCAACCGACAGCUGACGGGUUCGGGACUGGGACCCCCAUGCCCAUCUCUCAGAGCCAAUCCUUUUCCCAAAGUUAUGGAUCCAUUUUGUCGACUACCCUUGCCUACAUCUUUCCAUCGACCAGAGGCUGUUCACCUUGGAGACUUUAUGCGGUUAUGAGUACGACCGGACGUGGACGACAUUCGGUCCUACGGAUUUUAAACGGCCACCGGGAGCACACCGGACACCACGCGAUGUGUGGUGCUCUUCCAGCCGCUGGACCCUACCUCCGAAUGAGCCGAUUUAAGGGUGGGCAGGCUGUUAAACAGAAAAAAAACUCUUCGCGAGGCUCCCGAUGAUGUCUCCGGACAGACCUGGGCCGUCCAUGGCCUUAUGUGGGUCGUGCAUGCGACGACUAGAUUUAGCCGUAACAGGAGCUCUAGAUCUCGCCACUCGCCCGAAAGCACAACCGUUUCCAAACCAAAUGCUAUUAUAAAUCGAUCUUGAGAAGUUCCCUCAGCGGCGCAUGGUUGCCCCACAGACGUUGUUGGCAUGUUUUUGUAAGCGCCCAAAGGCGUAGCACGAACGAGCCAUGCAUGCCGUCAAGCGCCCACGCAACACGCCUACUAAGCCCGUAGGAUGCCCGUGAUGUCCGCCUCAGUCGCCCCGCAGACACCGUUGGCAUGUUUUUGCAAGCGCCCAACGGCAUAGCACGGACGAGCCAUGUAUUCCAUCAAGCGCCCACACAUAACGCGUUCUAAGCCCAUGGAACACGCUUGACGCCCGCUUGCUUUUGCCUCAGUUGCCCCGCAGAUGUCGCUGGCAUGUUUUUGUUGACACCCAACGGCGUAGCAAGGACAAGCCAUGCAUGAUGUCAAGCGCCCACGCAGCACGCCUACUAAGCCCAUAGGACGCCCAUGACGUCGGCCUGCCACCACCUCAAAUGCCCCGCAUACGUCGCGGGCAUGUUUUUGUAAAAGCCCAACGGCAUAGCAUGGACGAGCUAUGCAUGCCAUCAAGCGCCCACGCAGCACGCCUACUAAUCCCACAGGACGCCCUUGACGUCCACCUGUCUUGGCCUCAACCGCCGCGCAAACGUCUCUUGCAUGUCUUUGUAGAUGCCCAAUGGCGAAGCACGGACGAGCCAUGCAUGCCAUUAAGCUCCCACGCAGCACGCCUACUAAGCCCAUAGGACGCCCUUGACGUUCGCCUUCCUUUGCCUCACUCAACCCGUCGAUGUCGGCUACGUAUUUUUGUAAACGCCGAAUGACGUAGCAAGGACAAGCCAUGCAUGCCAUCAAGUGCCCACGCAACACGCCUACUAAGCCCACGGGACACCUAUGUCGUAUGCCUGUCUGCGCCUCAGUAUGCCUCCUACACCUCUACCCCCUUAUAUAUGCUUUCAAAAGUUUUACCCAUGUGACAGGAGUAGACAUGGAUUUUCCAGAGAAUCAUAAUGGAAAUGUACAACCCAAAUAUGCACGUUCUAAGGUACAAACACACAUCAGCUUUCACAAAUGACUUUAAUCUAUAUAAAAAAAUAUUUUUCAACAUUUUUUUUAAUUUUUAUUUUUUUCAAAAAUUCCAAAAAAUUAAUAAUAAAUUAAAAAAAGUAGGGAAAAUAUCGAAAAAAUAUGAAAUUAACUCCGAAAAUUUACAAAUAAAUAUGGGAACCUUAAAAUAAAAAAUUUAAUUUUUAAAAGGAGACGUAAAAAAUUAGAAAGCGUAAAAAUAAAUUAUAAAAUAAUGAUCAAUAUUCGAAAAAUAUGGAAAUGCUCGAAAAACUUCUAAACAUGUAAAAUUAAUGAUAAGAUAUAUAUUUACACAAAUAAAAGAUGUUUCAAUAUCGUACGAACCGUAAAAGUAAUGAAAAUGAUGCAAAGAGCCACAUUUGGCGGAAACGUUAGAGAAUAGAUCAUGGAAAUUAGACGAAUAUGUUUGUUAUGCAUGGAGGUUGUUUCAAAAUCCUUUGAUUUAUGUACGGCAUGAACAUCUGCAUGUUUCGUUUAGAACUCGAACAAUGUCAUGCAAGCCACGACCGAUGCAGGCAGGCCACCGCUGACCAUUGUGUUUAGGCACAUCUGACGACGGCCGACCGUUUAUGCUGUCCAAGGGCUAUGAUGGCAUGCCACGCCCGACGAUUCCCGACCAUCUGUGCUGUCCAAGGGCGAUGAUGGCAAGCCACGCCUGACGCCGUUCGACCAUCUAUGCUGCCCAAGGGCGAAGAUGGCAUGCCACACCCCACGUCGUCCGACCGUGUCAGCUAGUCCAAAGGCGAUGAUAGCAUGCGACGUGCGAUGUCGUCUGACCGUGUCAGCUAGUCCAAAGGAGAUGAUGGCAUGCCACGCUCGACGUCGUCUGAUCGUGUGUCCUGUCCAAGGGCUAUGAUGGCAUGCCACGCCCGAGGAUGGCCGACCCGCCGCACCCUCUUACUCAUCGGGGCCUGGCGCCUGCCCUGACGGCCGAGUGUAGGUUGCGCGCUUAAGAGCCAUCCAUUUUCAGGGCUAGCUGAUUCGGCAGGUGAGUUGUUACACAUUCCUUAGUAGAUUUUGACUUCCAUGACCACCGUCUUGCUGUCUUAAUCGACCAACAUCCUUUGUGGAAUCUAGGUUAGCGCGCAGUUUGGCACCAUAACCCGGCUUCCGGUUCAUCCCGCAUCGCCAGUUCUGCUUACAAAAAAUGGCCCACUUGGAGAUCUUGAUUCCGUG